RNAcentral lists this ribosomal RNA (819 nucleotides) under Crangonyx forbesi. RNAcentral's name for it is "partial 28S ribosomal RNA". The record is from RNAcentral. Lineage: Eukaryota; Metazoa; Arthropoda; Malacostraca; Amphipoda; Crangonyctidae.
AGACCGCUGAAACCGCUCAGAGUAUAAGCCAAUGGGGCUCGGAAGGCGAACCGCUGCCAAUUUAUUGGCGGCAUGCAGGACGGUCUGUCAGGCAGUGGCAUUGGGUUGAUAUCACGCUGGCGUACGGGUCUGAUCUGUGUCGUGGACUACGGAGCAGCGGCACAGUGAAGGCUUUGGUAUGGACGUUCUAAGGUUGCAUGUCGAAAGGCGGGACUGCCCACCACGACUCGUUGUGUGGUCACCCACAGGCUCGACUGCCGAUCGCUUGCUCACCCCCGCUUAGCAUUCAUUGUGUCGCAAAUUGGUUCCCACAUGGGUGGGAACCGACACUUCGCGGCGGGGGCAGAAUCAUGUUGAGCAGGGCGGCGACUGAGAUAAACCUGGUAUGAUCCAUGAGCGACGAGUCGCUUUCUGGCCAGAUGUGCGUGCAGGCUUCUUCUCAUUGCCGAGAGUUGCCUCACACCAGGCGGUUUGUGUCCUCUACUGUUAAGAGCUUCGAGCUCUUGCGGCAUGGCCUCUCGCCGCACGUACAUCUGAGUGGUGUUAAGUCCGACACCAUCGGUCACGUCUCGAAACACGGGCCAAGGAGUAUAGCAUGUGUGCAAGUCUAAGGGUCUCACAAAACCCACGGGCGAAGUGAAAGCAAGGUUGUGGCGGGUGAGCCCCUCGAGGCAAAACCCUGUCAGCCAAGGCGAAUGGAGCAAUCCGCUAGCCGAGGCUUAAACAUGAGUUGAUACUACUGAUACGGAUGUGACCUGAGGUAGUCGCAAAACUCCGGGCUCGCAAUCACCACCUGGUCGCUUGCGGCUGUGUGCGAGC